RNAcentral lists this ribosomal RNA (1330 nucleotides) under Serratia marcescens. RNAcentral describes it as "bacterial SSU rRNA". It matches the Rfam family "Bacterial small subunit ribosomal RNA", at positions 218 to 1533 of the family's 1533-position model. The record is from RNAcentral. Lineage: Bacteria; Pseudomonadati; Pseudomonadota; Gammaproteobacteria; Enterobacterales; Yersiniaceae.
CUGAUGGAUGGACCCGCGGUGCAUUAGCUAGUUGGUGAGGUAACGGCUCACCAAGGCCACGAUGCAUAGCCGACCUGAGAGGGUGAUCGGCCACAUUGGGACUGAGACACGGCCCAAACUCCUACGGGAGGCAGCAGUAGGGAAUCUUCGGCAAUGGACGAAAGUCUGACCGAGCAACGCCGCGUGAGUGAAGAAGGUUUUCGGAUCGUAAAACUCUGUUGUUAGAGAAGAACAAGGAUGAGAGUAACUGUUCAUCCCUUGACGGUAUCUAACCAGAAAGCCACGGCUAACUACGUGCCAGCAGCCGCGGUAAUACGUAGGUGGCAAGCGUUGUCCGGAUUUAUUGGGCGUAAAGCGAGCGCAGGCGGUUUCUUAAGUCUGAUGUGAAAGCCCCCGGCUCAACCGGGGAGGGUCAUUGGAAACUGGGAGACUUGAGUGCAGAAGAGGAGAGUGGAAUUCCAUGUGUAGCGGUGAAAUGCGUAGAUAUAUGGAGGAACACCAGUGGCGAAGGCGGCUCUCUGGUCUGUAACUGACGCUGAGGCUCGAAAGCGUGGGGAGCAAACAGGAUUAGAUACCCUGGUAGUCCACGCCGUAAACGAUGAGUGCUAAGUGUUGGAGGGUUUCCGCCCUUCAGUGCUGCAGCUAACGCAUUAAGCACUCCGCCUGGGGAGUACGACCGCAAGGUUGAAACUCAAAGGAAUUGACGGGGGCCCGCACAAGCGGUGGAGCAUGUGGUUUAAUUCGAAGCAACGCGAAGAACCUUACCAGGUCUUGACAUCCUUUGACCACUCUAGAGAUAGAGCUUCCCCUUCGGGGGCAAAGUGACAGGUGGUGCAUGGUUGUCGUCAGCUCGUGUCGUGAGAUGUUGGGUUAAGUCCCGCAACGAGCGCAACCCUUAUUGUUAGUUGCCAUCAUUCAGUUGGGCACUCUAGCAAGACUGCCGGUGACAAACCGGAGGAAGGUGGGGAUGACGUCAAAUCAUCAUGCCCCUUAUGACCUGGGCUACACACGUGCUACAAUGGGAAGUACAACGAGUCGCGAAGUCGCGAGGCUAAGCUAAUCUCUUAAAGCUUCUCUCAGUUCGGAUUGCAGGCUGCAACUCGCCUGCAUGAAGCCGGAAUCGCUAGUAAUCGCGGAUCAGCACGCCGCGGUGAAUACGUUCCCGGGCCUUGUACACACCGCCCGUCACACCACGAGAGUUUGUAACACCCGAAGUCGGUGAGGUAACCUUUUGGAGCCAGCCGCCUAAGGUGGGAUAGAUGAUUGGGGUGAAGUCGUAACAAGGUAGCCGUAUCGGAAGGUGCGGCUGGAUCACCUCCUUUCUAAGGAA